This 807-nucleotide ribosomal RNA is filed under the name uncultured bacterium. Its description in RNAcentral is "bacterial SSU rRNA". It matches the Rfam family "Bacterial small subunit ribosomal RNA", at positions 670 to 1482 of the family's 1533-position model. The record is from RNAcentral.
CACGUGUAGCAGUGAAAUGCGUAGAUAUGUGCAGUAACACCGAUGGCGAAGGCAGCCCCCUGGGUCAAAACUGACGCUCAUGCACGAAAGCGUGGGGAGCAAACGGGAUUAGAUACCCUGGUAGUCCACGUCCUAAACGAUGUCUACUAGUUGUCGGGUCUUAAUUGACUUGGUAACGCAGCUAACGCGUGAAGUAGACCGCCUGGGGAGUACGGUCGCAAGAUUAAAACUCAAAGGAAUUGACGGGGACCCGCACAAGCGGUGGAUGAUGUGGAUUAAUUCGAUGCAACGCGAAAAACCUUACCUACCCUUGACAUGGCAGGAAUCCUGAAGAGAUUUGGGAGUGCUCGAAAGAGAACCAUCACACAGGUGCUGCAUGGCUGUCGUCAGCUCGUGUCGUGAGAUGUUGGGUUAAGUCCCGCAACGAGCGCAACCCUUGUCAUUAGUUGCUACGAAAGGGCACUCUAAUGAGACUGCCGGUGACAAACCGGAGGAAGGUGGGGAUGACGUCAAGUCCUCAUGGCCCUUAUGGGUAGGGCUUCACACGUCAUACAAUGGUACAUACAGAGGGCCGCCAACCCGCGAGGGGGAGCUAAUCCCAGAAAGUGUAUCGUAGUCCGGAUUGGAGUCUGCAACUCGACUCCAUGAAGUUGGAAUCGCUAGUAAUCGCGGAUCAGCAUGUCGCGGUGAAUACGUUCCCGGGUCUUGUACACACCGCCCGUCACACCAUGGGAGCGGGUUUUACCAGAAGUGGGUAGCCUAACCGCAAGGAGGGCGCUCACCACGGUAGGAUUCGUGACUGGGGUG